GACGAACGCUGGCGGCGUGCUUAACACAUGCAAGUCGAACGGAAAGGCCCUGCUUUUGUGGGGUGCUCGAGUGGCGAACGGGUGAGUAACACGUGAGUAACCUGCCCUUGACUUUGGGAUAACUUCAGGAAACUGGGGCUAAUACCGGAUAGGAGCUCCUGCUGCAUGGUGGGGGUUGGAAAGUUUCGGCGGUUGGGGAUGGACUCGCGGCUUAUCAGCUUGUUGGUGGGGUAGUGGCUUACCAAGGCUUUGACGGGUAGCCGGCCUGAGAGGGUGACCGGCCACAUUGGGACUGAGAUGCGGCCAGACUCCUACGGGAGGCAGCAGUGGGGAAUAUUGCACAAUGGGCGGAGGCCUGAUGCAGCAACGCCGCGUGCGGGAUGACGGCCUUCGGGUUGUAAACCGCUUUCGCCUGUGACGAAGCGUGAGUGACGGUAAUGGGGAAAGAAGCACCGGCUAACUACGU
Molecule: ribosomal RNA, 466 nt
Filed under: uncultured bacterium
Lineage: Bacteria
Description: partial 16S ribosomal RNA
Rfam family: Bacterial small subunit ribosomal RNA
Source: RNAcentral